Marmota monax (woodchuck) is the source of this 601-nucleotide long non-coding RNA. RefSeq lists it as uncharacterized. Lineage: Eukaryota; Metazoa; Chordata; Mammalia; Rodentia; Sciuridae. The transcript is spliced from 2 exons. The record is from RefSeq and is a predicted model, not a curated record.
CUGCCCGGGGUGGCUUCCCCGCGGCUGAUUGGCGUUCCCUGGGGGUGGCGGGCUGCCUUCCCCUGUCCCACAGUCCCCAGCCACUACCGAAGCCUCCUCCCAUUUAAAUAAGUUUUAUGUCCCUGGGCAGUACACGACCGUGGCUACGCAAGCACUCCCCAACUUCCCUUUCGGACAAACUGGCUACCCUGGAUUCUUCGUAAGCAGAAUUUCCGGAGCUGCCUCUGCCCACAGUUGAUAACGCAAUUGAAUGGGGGCAAUUUAUUGCAUUUAGAGCUGACAGGCUGUUGGUUUACUUUUUAGAUGAGAACAGGGGUUUUAUCUCGGUGUGUGCUGCAUUCCCUCUCUGCAGAACAAUGCCUGGACAGAAUGAGAGAACUGAAGCGAACCGUCAUGCACUUCCUGAAUUUGCAGAAGAGGAACGCCUGCUCCUUUGUAGGGUCCCAGUCCCAUUUUUAAUUAGGAUUGCCAGGAACUGUGCCAUGAAGUCCCCCCCUCCCGCCGGGAGUUUGGAAUAUUUUUUUUCUUACAUGGGGAAGUUAUUGCCUUAUAAAAUUCAUAAUGUUAUACAAUUAUUAUAAUAAACUGAUACUCACUAUCA